Molecule: ribosomal RNA, 458 nt
Filed under: uncultured bacterium
Lineage: Bacteria
Description: partial 16S ribosomal RNA
Rfam family: Bacterial small subunit ribosomal RNA
Source: RNAcentral
CCUACGGGAGGCAGCAGUAGGGAAUAUUGCUCAAUGGGGGAAACCCUGAAGCAGCAACGCCGCGUGGAGGAUGAAGGUUUUCGGAUUGUAAACCUCUUUUGCCGGGGAGCAAAAAGCGGUACGUGUACCGCAUCGAGAGUACCCGGAGAAAAAGCAUCGGCUAACUCCGUGCCAGCAGCCGCGGUAAUACGGAGGAUGCGAGCGUUAUCCGGAUUUAUUGGGUUUAAAGGGUGCGCAGGCGGCGAGUUAAGUCAGCGGUAAAAUUUCGGGGCUCAACCCCGACGAGCCGUUGAAACUGGCUUGCUAGAGUGGGCGAGAAGUAUGCGGAAUGCGUGGUGUAGCGGUGAAAUGCAUAGAUAUCACGCAGAACUCCGAUUGCGAAGGCAGCAUACCGGCGCCCAACUGACGCUCAGGCACGAAAGCGUGGGUAUCGAACAGGAUUAGAUACCCGUGUAGUC